CCUAGUUCGGAUUGCAGGCUGAAACUCGCCUGCAUGAAGCUGGAAUUGCUAGUAAUCAUAGGUCAGCAUACUAUGGUGAAUACGUUCCCGGGCCUUGUACACACCGCCCGUCACACCAUGAGAGUUGAGAAUACCCGAAGUCCAUGUCAAAGUGGCCGAAGGUAGGCUUGAUGAUUGGGGUGAAGUCGUAACAAGGUAAC
Molecule: ribosomal RNA, 200 nt
Filed under: uncultured bacterium
Lineage: Bacteria
Description: partial 16S ribosomal RNA
Rfam family: Bacterial small subunit ribosomal RNA
Source: RNAcentral